Myotis daubentonii (Daubenton's bat) is the source of this 337-nucleotide long non-coding RNA. RefSeq lists it as uncharacterized. NCBI's taxonomy places the organism in Eukaryota, Metazoa, Chordata, Mammalia, Chiroptera, Vespertilionidae. The record is from RefSeq and is a predicted model, not a curated record.
AGAAAAUUCUUGCUGCAACCUGUGAAUUGCCGAGACCUGCUGAUUAUAUAUUUCAAGGACAACCUCCAAACCCUUCAGAUUUGCCAAGAAACUUACCUUUAUAAAGGCAAGACUUUUCACCUGUUUUGCUCACUGCUGCAUCCCCAGUGCCUAGAACAGCUGCUGAGAGAUGAGGGGAAGGUUGAAUGGAGGCACAUUUUUCAAAACCUGAAGAGGGACCAAAAUGACAAAGAAGAAGAAAACAGGUGUCAAAAGAUGAGACUUGAAACUUGUAAGGCAAAAUUUGCUUCUUCGUCAUUAUUGAAAUUUGCUUCUUUAUAAUGUUUAGAACAGAUUU